This 795-nucleotide ribosomal RNA is filed under the name Amphidinium massartii. Its description in RNAcentral is "partial large subunit ribosomal RNA". The record is from RNAcentral. Lineage: Eukaryota; Dinophyceae; Amphidiniales; Amphidiniaceae.
GAAUGGGAAUCUCUUAGUAAUGGCGAAUGAAAAGAGAUGUGCUUAGUGUCAAAAUCAGGUUAUCCUGAAUUGUAGGCUGUAGGGGUGAUGCCAACUUGGGUGCAGGUGAAAGUCUCUUGGAAAGGAGCACCAGUGAGGGUCAGGGUCCCGCCUGUCAUCUGUCAUCCCUUGUAGACGGUUUGCCCAUUGAGAGUCGUGUUCUUCUGGAAUAGAGCGCCAAACGGGUGGUACUCUUUGCCUAAGGAGCAUUACGUGCUUGAGACCAAUAGCGAACAAGUACCAUGAGGGAAGGGUGAAAAGGACUUUGGAAAGAGGGUUAAGAGGGCUUGAAGCUGCUGGAAGGGAAGUGGAUUGGACUUUUACUCCGCGGCAAGAUUGCAGGCUGUAGUCUUCACUUGUGGGGAACUGCGUACUGUGUCUCUUGCCGCAUGGUUGAGCUCUGUGUAGCGCUCAGAAUCUUAGCGUGGACUGGAGAAGGGUUGCGAUCUGGACCAUGUCUUUGCCUACUCUUAGCGCAACAUUUAUCUUGACCAAAUAGUUCAAUUUUACCCGUCUUGAAACACGGACCAAGGAGUCUAAUGCGUGUGCGAGUGUAAGGGAUUGACACCUGACAGCUCAACAAAGGUGACUGCUGGGAUUCUUGCACCAGCAACCAACUGAUCGCUUAGGAGAUGUUUGUGUAUGAGCACACUUGCUAGGACCCGAAAGGUGGUGAACUAUGCCUGAGAAGGGUGACGUCAGGGGRAACUCUGAUGGAAGCUCGUAGCGCUACUGACGUGCAAAUCGUUCGUCUGA